Molecule: ribosomal RNA, 497 nt
Filed under: uncultured bacterium
Lineage: Bacteria
Description: partial 16S ribosomal RNA
Rfam family: Bacterial small subunit ribosomal RNA
Source: RNAcentral
GAUGAACGCUGGCGGCGUGCCUAAUACAUGCAAGUCGAGCGAACGGACGAGAAGCUUGCUUCUCUGAUGUUAGCGGCGGACGGGUGAGUAACACGUGGAUAACCUACCUAUAAGACUGGGAUAACUUCGGGAAACCGGAGCUAAUACCGGAUAAUAUUUUGAACCGCAUGGUUCAAAAGUGAAAGACGGUCUUGCUGUCACUGAUAGAUGGAUCCGCGCUGCAUUAGCUAGUUGGUAAGGUAACGGCUUACCAAGGCAACGAUGCAUAGCCGACCUGAGAGGAUGAUCAGCCACACUGGAACUGAGACACGGUCCAGACUCCUACGGGAGGCAGCAGUAGGGAAUCUUCCGCAAUGGGCGAAAGCCUGACGGAGCAACGCCGCGUGAGUGAUGAAGGUCUUCGGAUCGUAAAACUCUGUUAUUAGGGAAGAACAUAUGUGUAAGUAACUGUGCACAUCUUGACGGUACCUAAUCAGAAAGCCACGGCUAACUACGUG